This 334-nucleotide unclassified non-coding RNA is filed under the name Alexandrium tamarense. RNAcentral's name for it is "partial 3' external transcribed spacer". Lineage: Eukaryota; Dinophyceae; Gonyaulacales; Pyrocystaceae. The record is from RNAcentral.
UUCGCAUGCACACAACAACACCGGGCUUGCGUGCAUGAGCAUUCAGAGGCGGGGCACAUAGUGAAUUAUCUUCCAUAUGCAGUACUGCUGUUUAGCAUUGCUGUGAACAAGGAGAGUCAAUGUGUAUUGCAUUGAACCUGGAUGUGUUGCAGCUGCUUCGCAACCUAAACAUGGAGCUAUUGGCUUUGAAUUGUAUUGUGGAAAUGUAUUACCAACAGAGGUGCAGGUGCCAGCCUAUUGAAAUAGAGCGUCAAUGAGGGUGAGAAUCCUGUUUGUCAUGUGCAGCCCUUUGUGCACGGUGUAAAUUUGCUGAGUCACACUCCUUGGCGUUGGA